GGAAUGAUGGUGACCUAAACCCUCACCAGAGUAACAAUUGGAGGGCAAGUCUGGUGCCAGCAGCCGCGGUAAUUCCAGCUCCAAUAGCGUAUAUUAAACUUGUUGCAGUUAAAAAGCUCGUAGUUGAAUUUUUGCGUCACCGUGUAUCGACAUUGGUCGUUUAUCGGUUUCGCUUUUGGGAUUUKUCCCUUUUUACUUUGAGAAAAUUAGAGUGUUUCAAGCAGACUUUUGUCUUGAAUACUUCAGCAUGGAAUAAUAGAGUAGGACUUUGGUUCUAUUUUGUUGGUUUGUGAACCUUAGUAAUGGUUAAUAGGAACGGUUGGGGGCAUUCGUAUUUAACUGUCAGAGGUGAAAUUCUUAGAUUUGUUAAAGACGAACUACUGCGAAAGCAUUUGCCAAGGACGUUUUCAUUAAUCAAGAACGAAAGUUAGGGGAUCGAAGACGAUCAGAUACCGUCGUAGUCCUAACCAUAAACUAUGCCGACUAGGGAUUGGAGGUCGUCUUUUUUCC
RNAcentral lists this ribosomal RNA (510 nucleotides) under Babesia sp. OO-2012. RNAcentral describes it as "SSU rRNA". It matches the Rfam family "Eukaryotic small subunit ribosomal RNA", at positions 513 to 1083 of the family's 1831-position model. The record is from RNAcentral. Lineage: Eukaryota; Apicomplexa; Aconoidasida; Piroplasmida; Babesiidae.